Molecule: ribosomal RNA, 852 nt
Filed under: Rhodoferax sp.
Lineage: Bacteria; Pseudomonadati; Pseudomonadota; Betaproteobacteria; Burkholderiales; Comamonadaceae
Description: bacterial SSU rRNA
Rfam family: Bacterial small subunit ribosomal RNA
Source: RNAcentral
GGCAGCACGGGAGCAAUCCUGGUGGCGAGUGGCGAACGGGUGAGUAAUAUAUCGGAACGUGCCCAGUCGUGGGGGAUAACGCAGCGAAAGCUGUGCUAAUACCGCAUACGAUCUACGGAUGAAAGCGGGGGAUCGCAAGACCUCGCGCGAUUGGAGCGGCCGAUAUCAGAUUAGCUAGUUGGUGGGGUAAAGGCCCACCAAGGCGACGAUCUGUAGCUGGUCUGAGAGGACGACCAGCCACACUGGAACUGAGACACGGUCCAGACUCCUACGGGAGGCAGCAGUGGGGAAUUUUGGACAAUGGGCGCAAGCCUGAUCCAGCAAUGCCGCGUGCAGGAUGAAGGCCUUCGGGUUGUAAACUGCUUUUGUACGGAACGAAACGGUGAGCUCUAAUAAAGUUUGCUAAUGACGGUACCGUAAGAAUAAGCACCGGCUAACUACGUGCCAGCAGCCGCGGUAAUACGUAGGGUGCGAGCGUUAAUCGGAAUUACUGGGCGUAAAGCGUGCGCAGGCGGUUAUAUAAGACAGAUGUGAAAUCCCCGGGCUCAACCUGGGACCUGCAUUUGUGACUGUAUAGCUAGAGUACGGUAGAGGGGGAUGGAAUUCCGCGUGUAGCAGUGAAAUGCGUAGAUAUGCGGAGGAACACCGAUGGCGAAGGCAAUCCCCUGGACCUGUACUGACGCUCAUGCACGAAAGCGUGGGGAGCAAACAGGAUUAGAUACCCUGGUAGUCCACGCCCUAAACGAUGUCAACUGGUUGUUGGGUCUUCNCUGACUCAGUAACGAANCUANCGCGUGAAGUUGACCGCCUGGGGANUACGGCCGCAGGUUGAACUCAAGGAAUUGACGGGGA